CCUUUAGACCUUCGGAAU
RNAcentral lists this small nuclear RNA (18 nucleotides) under Arabidopsis thaliana (thale cress). Its description in RNAcentral is "snRNA_06719". The record is from RNAcentral. Lineage: Eukaryota; Viridiplantae; Streptophyta; Magnoliopsida; Brassicales; Brassicaceae.